CACUCUAAUUGGGGAAGUCAUAUAAAAAGAUAUGAUAUUUUUUGGUGUCUUUAUCGUAAGUUGAUUUGAGGGCGAAAGAAUAAAGGAAAAUGUUUUUUAUUACUAAACAAAUGACUUUCUUUAUUGUUUUGCUGCUUUUUAGUUUCUUCCAUCUUUCAAUGAGCGAUGUUCAGCCUGAAUCGGCACAUGCGACUUUGACCUUGCCACCAGACCUAGGACCUGAACAGGCAGUUUGUGCAGAUCCAGCAGCCGGCGAAGGUAAACCAUCAGCCCAAGUGGCUAAUGGAGGCAUUCCGCCCCAGUGAUCCAGCAUUUCCGCCGAACAAGAAAAGCGAAACUUUUCUUGUUAUUCAUGUAGAAAUUAAAAAUUCAAAAGGUGUAUAAGAAAAUAAACCCGUCUAUAAAUAAAACAAAUUAAGACAAAGUUGAAGUGAAUGUGU
Argiope bruennichi is the source of this 440-nucleotide long non-coding RNA. RefSeq lists it as uncharacterized. Lineage: Eukaryota; Metazoa; Arthropoda; Arachnida; Araneae; Araneidae. The transcript has 4 exons. The record is from RefSeq and is a predicted model, not a curated record.